RNAcentral lists this ribosomal RNA (547 nucleotides) under uncultured bacterium. RNAcentral describes it as "partial 16S ribosomal RNA". It matches the Rfam family "Bacterial small subunit ribosomal RNA", at positions 355 to 895 of the family's 1533-position model. The record is from RNAcentral.
UGGGGAAUUUUGGACAAUGGGCGAAAGCCUGAUCCAGCAAUGCCGCGUGUGUGAAGAAGGCCUUCGGGUUGUAAAGCACUUUUGUCCGGAAAGAAAUCCUUGGCUCUAAUACAGUCGGGGGAUGACGGUACCGGAAGAAUAAGCACCGGCUAACUACGUGCCAGCAGCCGCGGUAAUACGUAGGGUGCAAGCGUUAAUCGGAAUUACUGGGCGUAAAGCGUGCGCAGGCGGUUUGCUAAGACCGAUGUGAAAUCCCCGGGCUCAACCUGGGAACUGCAUUGGUGACUGGCAGGCUAGAGUAUGGCAGAGGGGGGUAGAAUUCCACGUGUAGCAGUGAAAUGCGUAGAGAUGUGGAGAAAUACCGAUGGCGAAGGCAGCCCCCUGGGCCAAUACUGACGCUCAUGCACGAAAGCGUGGGGAGCAAACAGGAUUAGAUACCCUGGUAGUCCACGCCCUAAACGAUGUCAACUAGUUGUUGGGGAUUCAUUUCCUUAGUAACGUAGCUAACGCGUGAAGUUGACCGCCUGGGGAGUACGGUCGCAAGAUU